UACAGAGGGUGCGAGCGUUAAUCGGAAUUACUGGGCGUAAAGCGCGCGUAGGCGGCUUUGCAAGUCGGGUGUGAAAUCCCCAGGCUUAACCUGGGAACUGCAUUCGAGACUGCAUUGCUAGAGUAUGGGAGAGGGAAGUGGAAUUUCCGGUGUAGCGGUGAAAUGCGUAGAUAUCGGGAGGAACAUCAGUGGCGAAGGCGACUGCCUGGCCCAACACUGACGCUGAGGUGCGAAAGCGUGGGUAGCAAACAGG
Molecule: ribosomal RNA, 253 nt
Filed under: uncultured bacterium
Lineage: Bacteria
Description: partial 16S ribosomal RNA
Rfam family: Bacterial small subunit ribosomal RNA
Source: RNAcentral